RNAcentral lists this ribosomal RNA (550 nucleotides) under uncultured eukaryote. RNAcentral describes it as "bacterial SSU rRNA". It matches the Rfam family "Eukaryotic small subunit ribosomal RNA", at positions 594 to 1146 of the family's 1831-position model. The record is from RNAcentral.
AUAGCGUAUACUAAAGUUGUUGCAGUUAAAAAGCUCGUAGUUGGAUUUCUAAUCUCUCUUGGGGUUCCUUUUCUAAAGAAAUGUGCGACCAUUCAAGAGAGAUUAUCCUCGUGCCUAGCCUUUCUCACUUUCAUUAGUCAGGAAGGGGACGCACGUCAUUUACUGUGAGCAAAAUAGAGUGUUCAAAGCAGGCUUAGGCCAUGAAUAUAUUAGCAUGGAAUAAUAAGAUAGGACUUGGGUCUAUUUUGUUGGUUUGCAGACCGAAGUAAUGAUUAAUAGGGAUAGCUGGGGGUAUUUAUAUUCCGAUGUCAGAGGUGAAAUUCUUAGAUUUUCGGAAGAUAAACUUAUGCGAAAGCAUUUACCAAGGAUGUUUUCAUUAAUCAAGAACGAAAGUUAGGGGAUCGAAGAUGAUUAGAUACCAUCGUAGUCUUAACCAUAAACUAUGCCGACUCAGGAUUGGUGAACGUUGAUUUAAUGACUUCAUCAGCACUGUAUGAGAAAUCAAAGUCUUUGGGUUCCGGGGGGAGUAUGGUCGCAAGGCUGAAACUUA